UACAGAGGGUGCGAGCGUUGUCCGGAAUCACUGGGCGGAAAGGGCGCGUAGGUGGUGGCUUAAGCGUGCGGUGAAAGCUCGGAGCUCAACUCCGAGUCGGCCGUGCGAACUGGGCUCACUGGAGCAUAGUAGAGGCAGGUGGAAUUCCGGGUGUAGCGGUGGAAUGCGUAGAGAUCCGGAAGAACACCGGUGGCGAAGGCGGCCUGCUGGGCUAUGGCUGACACUGAGGCGCGACAGCGUGGGGAGCAAACAGG
RNAcentral lists this ribosomal RNA (254 nucleotides) under uncultured bacterium. Its description in RNAcentral is "partial 16S ribosomal RNA". It matches the Rfam family "Bacterial small subunit ribosomal RNA", at positions 524 to 776 of the family's 1533-position model. The record is from RNAcentral.